Molecule: regulatory RNA element, 88 nt
Rfam family: Rhodo-rpoB RNA
Source: Rfam
GGAUCGGGCGGAGCCGGUGGGCCGGUUUCGAGAAUAGAUCCGAAUUGUUUUGUUUUGCGAUACGUCCUUGUUGCCCAGCUUGGAUGUC